Molecule: non-coding RNA, 298 nt
Organism: Meleagris gallopavo (turkey)
Lineage: Eukaryota; Metazoa; Chordata; Aves; Galliformes; Phasianidae
Source: RefSeq, a predicted model, not a curated record
GGGAUGUGAAGAUGUAUGUUGUUCCUUGUGGUAGCUUUAGUGGAGAGAAAUUAUUGUAAGAAAUUUCUGGGCUUGCGUAUAUCAGGUGGAAUACAGGAGAAGCAUGUAGCAUGUCUGGAUGUUCUGCACCUUCUCUCUCAAGAUGAUCACAGCAGCUUUAGAAAAGGAGCAGCCACCAAUAACUCUGCAGCUCUCACAGGAUGCAAUUAAGUUUAUCUCGGUAUGAGAUAUGUUACAUCCUGCAGAAAGUCUGUGGUAAGACAAGAUGUAUGGAAGAUUCUGAAGCACUGUGCAGAAU